Long non-coding RNA from Oncorhynchus tshawytscha (Chinook salmon), 410 nucleotides. NCBI's taxonomy places the organism in Eukaryota, Metazoa, Chordata, Actinopteri, Salmoniformes, Salmonidae. The record is from Ensembl.
GCUCACUGAAGUCACAGCAUAGGCAUGGAUGGCUCAGAUGAAACCUCCACUAACGACAGUGCUCUAUGCCAGUUUGGAUUGCGUGUGGCCACCGGCAGAAGUGUCUUGUAAUUUGGUCUCUAUGGUGGAGUGGUUCUUAACAGUUCUUCCAAAAUUGUGAAAUGUUUAGGACCACUUGAUCAGGUGGACAAAUUCUUCCAAGGCAAUAGAUGGAGUAGCCUACACUGAGAACCAUGAAUCCUUACGUGUUUUAUUUUACCCUUAUUUUACCAGAAUAUCAAGGACCAUUCUUAUCUGUCAGAAAAGAUAUAUCAUCCCUCUCCCUUAAACUUCCCGCAAGGACCUGAGGACUACCUGGCAUGAUGACUCCUUGCUGUCCCCAGUACACCUGGCCGUGCUCCUGCUCCAGU